CAGCAAGCCUGGCCCUUUAAUGUACAUGGAUAGUAACAUGCAUGUCAAUCUCUCAUGGCUCAAAGUAGAGGAGAGAUGGAAUUCAUCACUACUUGUUUUUUUUAAAGAAGUAUUGACAAGCUGAAUGCACCGAGCUGUCUGUUUAAACCACUAGCACACAGCUCAGACACCCACACAUACCCCACAAUACAUGCCACCAGAGGUCUCUUCAUAGUCACCAAGUCAAGAACAGACUAUGGGAGGCGCACAGUACUACAUAGAGCCAUGACUACAUGGAACUAUAUUCCACAUCAAUACCUAUAUAAGAAUGCUGUUCAUUGACUACAGCUCAGCCUUCGACACCUUCGACACCAUAGUACCCUCCAAGCUCAUCAUUAAGCUCGGGCCCUGGGCCUGAACCCUGGACUUCCUGAUGGGCCGCCCCUUGGUGGUGAAGGUAGGAAACAAUAUGUCCACUACGCUGAUCCUCAACACAUGAGCCCCUCCUGAACUCCCUGUUCACCAAUGACUGCGUGGCCACGCACGCCUCCAACUCAACCAUCAAGUUUGCAGACGACAUAACUGUGGUAGGCCUGAUUACCAACAAUGACGAGCAGUCGACAGGGAGGAGGUGAGGGCCCUGGGAGUGAGGUGAGGGCCCUGGGAGUGAGGUGAGGGCCCUGGGAGUGAGGUGAGGGCCCUGGGAGUGAGGUGAGGGCCCUGGGAGUGAGGUGAGGGCCCUCGGAGUGAGGUGAGGGCCCUCGGAGUUGUCCCAGGUAAAUAACCUCCCUCAACAUCAACAAAACAAAGGAGUUGAUUGUGGACUUCAGGAGACAGCAGAGGGAGCACCCCCCCCAACCCACAUCAAUGGGACAGUAGUGGAGAAGGUGAAAAAAAUUCUAGUUCCUCGGCGUACACAUCACUGACAGUCUGAAAUGGUUCACCCACACAGAGAGUGUGGUGAAGGAGAUUAACCAGCGCCUCUUCAACCGGAGGAGGCUGAAGAAAUUUGUUUUGGCCCAUAAGACCCUCACAAACUUUUACAGAUGCACCACUGAGAGCAUCCUGUCGGGCUGUAUCACCACCUGGUAUGGCAACUGCACCGCAAGCAAACGAGGGGUUUCCAGAGGGUGGUGUGGUCUGCCCAAUGUAUCACCGGGGGCAAACUACCUGCCCUCCAGGACACCUACAGCACCCGAUGUCACAGCCAAAAAGAUCAUCAAGGACAACAACCACCCGAGCCACUGACUGUUCACACUGCCACCAUACAGAAG
Oncorhynchus tshawytscha (Chinook salmon) is the source of this 1253-nucleotide long non-coding RNA. Lineage: Eukaryota; Metazoa; Chordata; Actinopteri; Salmoniformes; Salmonidae. The record is from Ensembl.